Molecule: ribosomal RNA, 468 nt
Filed under: uncultured bacterium
Lineage: Bacteria
Description: partial 16S ribosomal RNA
Rfam family: Bacterial small subunit ribosomal RNA
Source: RNAcentral
GACGAACGCUGGCGGCGUGCUUAACACAUGCAAGUCGAACGGAAAGGCCCUGCUUGUUUGGGGUUCUCGAGUGGCGAACGGGUGAGUAACACGUGAGUAACCUGCCCUUGACUUUGGGAUAACUUCAGGAAACUGGGGCUAAUACCGGAUAGCAGCUGCUGCUGCAUGGUGGGCGUUGGAACGUUUCGGCGGGUGGGGAUGGACGCGCGGCUUAUCAGCUUGUUGGUGGGGUAGUUGCUUACCCAGGCUUUGACUGGUAGGCGGCCUGUGAGGGUGACCGGGCACAAGAGGACUGAGAGAGGGACCAGAGUCGAACGGGAGGCAACGGGGGGGAAUAUUACACAAUGAGCGGAAGUGUGUUGAGACAGCGCUGCGUGCGGAAAGACGGCCUUCGGGUUAUAAACCGCUUUAGCUUGUGACGAAGCGGGAGUGACGGUAAUGAGAGAAGAAGCACCGGCUAACUACGUG